This 887-nucleotide long non-coding RNA is filed under the name Mus spicilegus (steppe mouse). RNAcentral's name for it is "lncRNA (ENSMSIG00000031775.1)". Lineage: Eukaryota; Metazoa; Chordata; Mammalia; Rodentia; Muridae. The record is from RNAcentral.
UAAAAGAGAGAAAGUCUCAUUCAAGAAAAAUGCAUUAUGUGGCAUCUUUUACAGAAGCCUGGUUCCUCCUUCCUUUGGCUUUAACAAAGAGUGACCGCUGUCUGUCACCUCUGAUGCUACUACAGCUAGAACCACAGAACUGCAACUGCUAGCCACGAGUCGUCCUUGCCAUUCAUCAGAAUGUUAGAAUUAAAACCAGAAGAAGGCUUAUUGAUGGAACUGUAGCAAAGUGGGUGUUACAUGAAGUCAGAAGGCCCACAGCAGCAGGAGCAGCAGCAGCAGCAGCAGGAGCAGCAGCAGCAGCAGCAGCAGCAGCAGCAGCAGCAGCAGCAGCAGCUCUGGGUGAGCUUCCCUCUGUGUCCUUUGACCUCCUGUUUUCAGAAGCCUGUAACUUCAAGCUGACUGCCUGCUCUGACACACCCCAGCUGCUCUUUACUAACAAGGACACACCUUGGAAAAGCAUUCCGGAUGCUAGAUCACUUUUUCCGUGUUAUAAAAUCUAAUCAUGGAGUUAUGAUGUGCUUUUCUGUUUGUUUGUUUAAGCAAUUAAAUGAAGCUGUAGUGAAUGAAGAACAAUUCCUUGUUUAUCCUCAAGAGGGGCAGCUGAAGAAAAUGGAAAGAAACAGCUAAAAACAUUCAAAUAUAAACUAUGCUUUGCCAAAUAGCUCAUUCAUUUACAAAAUGUAACUUGCAAAGAGAUUUUUUAUCUGGUUGGGUGUAGAAACAACUCCGUUGGUAAUGUACUUGCCAUGCAUCCUGAGUUUGAUACCCAGUACCCAAUUACCCACACAAGAAGCCUGGUGGCAUGUGCUUAUAACCCCAGCUCUAGAUAGGGAAGUAUAGGAGGUAGACCCUUGCGAAUCCCAAAUGUUAACCAGCCUAGCCUG